Molecule: ribosomal RNA, 259 nt
Filed under: uncultured bacterium
Lineage: Bacteria
Description: partial 16S ribosomal RNA
Source: RNAcentral
CUGCUGCCUCCCGUAGGAGUUUGGGCCGUGUCUCAGUCCCAAUGUGGCCGUCCACCCUCUCAGGUCGGCUACCGAUCGUCGCCUUGGUGGGCUGUUACCCCUCCAACUAGCUAAUCGGACGCGGAUCCAUCUCUCACCGAUUUCUCUUUCCCUCUCCCGUCAUGCGAUAAAAGAGGCUCAUGCGGUAUUAGCAGCCGUUUCCAGCCUGUUAUCCCCCUGUGAAAGGCAGGUUAUCCACGCGUUACUCACCCGUCCGCCA